RNAcentral lists this ribosomal RNA (2235 nucleotides) under Escherichia coli. RNAcentral's name for it is "partial 23S ribosomal RNA". It matches the Rfam family "Bacterial large subunit ribosomal RNA", at positions 578 to 2798 of the family's 2925-position model. Lineage: Bacteria; Pseudomonadati; Pseudomonadota; Gammaproteobacteria; Enterobacterales; Enterobacteriaceae. The record is from RNAcentral.
AGCCUCUUUUAUGGGGUGACUGCGUACCUUUUGUAUAAUGGGUCAGCGACUUAUAUUCUGUAGCAAGGUUAACCGAAUAGGGGAGCCGAAGGGAAACCGAGUCUUAACUGGGCGUUAAGUUGCAGGGUAUAGACCCGAAACCCGGUGAUCUAGCCAUGGGCAGGUUGAAGGUUGGGUAACACUAACUGGAGGACCGAACCGACUAAUGUUGAAAAAUUAGCGGAUGACUUGUGGCUGGGGGUGAAAGGCCAAUCAAACCGGGAGAUAGCUGGUUCUCCCCGAAAGCUAUUUAGGUAGCGCCUCGUGAAUUCAUCUCCGGGGGUAGAGCACUGUUUCGGCAAGGGGGUCAUCCCGACUUACCAACCCGAUGCAAACUGCGAAUACCGGAGAAUGUUAUCACGGGAGACACACGGCGGGUGCUAACGUCCGUCGUGAAGAGGGAAACAACCCAGACCGCCAGCUAAGGUCCCAAAGUCAUGGUUAAGUGGGAAACGAUGUGGGAAGGCCCAGACAGCCAGGAUGUUGGCUUAGAAGCAGCCAUCAUUUAAAGAAAGCGUAAUAGCUCACUGGUCGAGUCGGCCUGCGCGGAAGAUGUAACGGGGCUAAACCAUGCACCGAAGCUGCGGCAGCGACGCUUAUGCGUUGUUGGGUAGGGGAGCGUUCUGUAAGCCUGUGAAGGUGUGCUGUGAGGCAUGCUGGAGGUAUCAGAAGUGCGAAUGCUGACAUAAGUAACGAUAAAGCGGGUGAAAAGCCCGCUCGCCGGAAGACCAAGGGUUCCUGUCCAACGUUAAUCGGGGCAGGGUGAGUCGACCCCUAAGGCGAGGCCGAAAGGCGUAGUCGAUGGGAAACAGGUUAAUAUUCCUGUACUUGGUGUUACUGCGAAGGGGGGACGGAGAAGGCUAUGUUGGCCGGGCGACGGUUGUCCCGGUUUAAGCGUGUAGGCUGGUUUUCCAGGCAAAUCCGGAAAAUCAAGGCUGAGGCGUGAUGACGAGGCACUACGGUGCUGAAGCAACAAAUGCCCUGCUUCCAGGAAAAGCCUCUAAGCAUCAGGUAACAUCAAAUCGUACCCCAAACCGACACAGGUGGUCAGGUAGAGAAUACCAAGGCGCUUGAGAGAACUCGGGUGAAGGAACUAGGCAAAAUGGUGCCGUAACUUCGGGAGAAGGCACGCUGAUAUGUAGGUGAAGUCCCUUGCGGAUGGAGCUGAAAUCAGUCGAAGAUACCAGCUGGCUGCAACUGUUUAUUAAAAACACAGCACUGUGCAAACACGAAAGUGGACGUAUACGGUGUGACGCCUGCCCGGUGCCGGAAGGUUAAUUGAUGGGGUCAGCGCAAGCGAAGCUCUUGAUCGAAGCCCCGGUAAACGGCGGCCGUAACUAUAACGGUCCUAAGGUAGCGAAAUUCCUUGUCGGGUAAGUUCCGACCUGCACGAAUGGCGUAAUGAUGGCCAGGCUGUCUCCACCCGAGACUCAGUGAAAUUGAACUCGCUGUGAAGAUGCAGUGUACCCGCGGCAAGACGGAAAGACCCCGUGAACCUUUACUAUAGCUUGACACUGAACAUUGAGCCUUGAUGUGUAGGAUAGGUGGGAGGCUUUGAAGUGUGGACGCCAGUCUGCAUGGAGCCGACCUUGAAAUACCACCCUUUAAUGUUUGAUGUUCUAACGUGGACCCGUGAUCCGGGUUGCGGACAGUGUCUGGUGGGUAGUUUGACUGGGGCGGUCUCCUCCUAAAGAGUAACGGAGGAGCACGAAGGUUGGCUAAUCCUGGUCGGACAUCAGGAGGUUAGUGCAAUGGCAUAAGCCAGCUUGACUGCGAGCGUGACGGCGCGAGCAGGUGCGAAAGCAGGUCAUAGUGAUCCGGUGGUUCUGAAUGGAAGGGCCAUCGCUCAACGGAUAAAAGGUACUCCGGGGAUAACAGGCUGAUACCGCCCAAGAGUUCAUAUCGACGGCGGUGUUUGGCACCUCGAUGUCGGCUCAUCACAUCCUGGGGCUGAAGUAGGUCCCAAGGGUAUGGCUGUUCGCCAUUUAAAGUGGUACGCGAGCUGGGUUUAGAACGUCGUGAGACAGUUCGGUCCCUAUCUGCCGUGGGCGCUGGAGAACUGAGGGGGGCUGCUCCUAGUACGAGAGGACCGGAGUGGACGCAUCACUGGUGUUCGGGUUGUCAUGCCAAUGGCACUGCCCGGUAGCUAAAUGCGGAAGAGAUAAGUGCUGAAAGCAUCUAAGCACGAAACUUGCC